This 1131-nucleotide ribosomal RNA is filed under the name Selaginella stauntoniana. RNAcentral describes it as "partial large subunit ribosomal RNA". It matches the Rfam family "Eukaryotic large subunit ribosomal RNA", at positions 47 to 1172 of the family's 3401-position model. Lineage: Eukaryota; Viridiplantae; Streptophyta; Lycopodiopsida; Selaginellales; Selaginellaceae. The record is from RNAcentral.
UAAGCGGAGGAAAAGAAACUAACAAGGAUUUCCCUAGUAGCGGCGAGCGAACCGGAAACAGCCCAGCUUGAAAAUCGUGGCACUCCGUGCCCCGAAUUGUAGUCUGGAGAAGGGUCCUCUGCAGCAGACCGGGCUUAGGUUCCCUGGAAAGGGACGCCGGAGAGGGUGAGAGCCCCGUUCAGCCCGGACCCUGUUGCGUGACGAGGCUCUUUCAACGAGUCGGGUUGCUUGGGAAUGCAGCCUUAAGCGGGUGGUAAACUCCAUCCAAGGCUAAAUACUGGCGAGAGACCGAUAGCGCACAAGUACCGCGAGGGAAAGAUGAAAAGGACUUUGAAAAGAGAGUCAAAGAGUGCUUGAAAUUGCUGGGAGGGAAGCGAAUGGAUGCUCUGUGUGCCCCCUGGUUGUGUGCGGAACGGCUGGAUGACCGCUGGUCCGCCGACCAACUCAGGGCGGCUCGCCAGCGUGGGGGCCAUCUGCGGGAUAAUGACCGUGGGCCUCGGCCCCGGUUGAUGUCGCGGGUGGCCCCGUGGACUGGGGUGCGCGCCCUCGUGGCGGCGCGAAAGCGCCUGCGUGCCCCGGACGCUGGUGCCUUGGGCGUUCCAUCCGACCCGUCUUGAAACACGGACCAAGGAGUCUAACAUGUAUGCGAGUCUGCGGGUGUCAAACCCGGCAGGCGCAAGGAAACUGACUUGUGGGAUCCCCCUAGGGGGUGCACCACAGACCGACCUUGAUCUUCUGUGAAAGGUUCGAGUGCUAGCAUACCUGUUGGGACCCGAAAGAUGGUGAACUAUGCCUGAGCAGGGCGAAGCCAGAGGAAACUCUGGUGGAGGCUCGCAGCGAUACUGACGUGCAAAUCGUUCGUAUGACUUGGGUAUAGGGGCGAAAGACUAAUCGAACCAUCUAGUAGCUGGUUCCCCCCGAAGUUUCCCUCAGGAUAGCUGGAGCUCAGUUCGCGAGUUUUGUCGGGUAAAGCGAAUGAUUAGAGGCAUCGGGGGUUAAUAACCCUCGACCUAUUCUCAAACUUUAAAUAGGCAAGGCGCCGGGGUUGCUUCGGUGAACCCCGGCAGCGGAAUCCGAGCUCCAAGUGGGCCAUUUUUGGUAAGCAGAACUGGCGAUGCGGGAUGAACCGAA